Molecule: ribosomal RNA, 253 nt
Filed under: uncultured bacterium
Lineage: Bacteria
Description: partial 16S ribosomal RNA
Rfam family: Archaeal small subunit ribosomal RNA
Source: RNAcentral
UACCAGCACCCCGAGUGGUCGGGACGAUUAUUGGGCCUAAAGCGUCCGUAGCCGGUCCUGCAAGUCUUCCGUUAAAUCCAGCUGCUCAACAGAUGGGCUGCGGGGGAUACUACAGGGCUAGGAGGCGGGAGAGGCAAGCGGUACUUUAUGGGUAGGGGUAAAAUCCGUUGAUCCAUAGAAGACCACCAGUGGCGAAGGCGGCUUGCCAGAACGCGCUCGACGGUGAGGGAUGAAAGCUGGGGGAGCAAACCGG